Molecule: ribosomal RNA, 459 nt
Filed under: uncultured bacterium
Lineage: Bacteria
Description: partial 16S ribosomal RNA
Rfam family: Bacterial small subunit ribosomal RNA
Source: RNAcentral
CCUACGGGUGGCAACAGUGAGGAAUAUUGGUCAAUGGCCGAGAGGCUGAACCAGCCAAGUCGCGUGAGUGAAGACGGCCCUACGGGUUGUAAACCUCUUUUGUCGGGGAGCAAAGAGAGUCACGUGUGACUCAUUGAGAGUACCCGAAGAAAAAGCAUCGGCUAACUCCGGACCAGCAGACGCGGUAAUACGGGGGAUGCGAGCGUUAUCCGGAUUUAUGGGGUUUAAAGGGUGCGCAGGCGGAGGUGCAAGUCAGCGGUAAAAUUGCGGGGCUCAACCCCGUACUGCCGUUGAAACUGCAUCCCUUGAGUGCGCGAGAGGGAUGCGGAAUGCGUGGUGUAGCGGUGAAAUGCAUAGAUAUCACGCAGAACUCCGAUUGCGAAGGCAGCAUACCGGCGCGCAACUGACGCUCAUGCACGAAAGCGUGGGUAUCGAACAGGAUUAGAUACCCUUGUAGUC